Molecule: ribosomal RNA, 469 nt
Filed under: uncultured Hyphomicrobiales bacterium
Lineage: Bacteria; Pseudomonadati; Pseudomonadota; Alphaproteobacteria; Hyphomicrobiales
Description: bacterial SSU rRNA
Rfam family: Bacterial small subunit ribosomal RNA
Source: RNAcentral
UACGAGUAUGAGAGUUUGAUCAUGGCUCAGAGCGAACGCUGGCGGCAGGCUUAACACAUGCAAGUCGAACGGGUAUCUUCGGAUACUAGUGGCAGACGGGUGAGUAACACGUGGGAACGUACCUUUCGGUUCGGAAUAAUUCAGGGAAACUUGGACUAAUACCGGAUAAGCCCUUCGGGGGAAAGAUUUAUCGCCGAUAGAUCGGCCCGCGUCUGAUUAGCUAGUUGGUGAGGUAACGGCUCACCAAGGCGACGAUCAGUAGCUGGUCUGAGAGGAUGAUCAGCCACAUUGGGACUGAGACACGGCCCAAACUCCUACGGGAGGCAGCAGUGGGGAAUAUUGGACAAUGGGCGAAAGCCUGAUCCAGCCAUGCCGCGUGAGUGAUGAAGGCCUUAGGGUUGUAAAGCUCUUUUGUCCGGGAAGAUAAUGACUGUACCGGAAGAAUAAGCCCCGGCUAACUUCGUGCCAG